GACGAACGCUGGCGGCGUGGAUUAGGCAUGCAAGUCGAACGGUAUCAUCCUUUCGGGGGUGAGAGAGUGGCGAACUGGUGAGUAACACGUAGGUUAUCUACCCUCAAGACGGGGACAACCCAGGGAAACUUGGGCUAAUACCGGAUGUGAGCAACUUUUAGUUGUUUGAAAGGUGGCGUAAGCUGUCGCUUGGGGAUGAGCCUGCGUCCUAUUAGUUAGUUGGUGAGGUAACGGCUCACCUAGGCAAUGAUAGGUAGGCGGCCUUAACGGGUGGUCGCCCACACUGGGAUUGAGAUACGGCCCAGACUCCUACGGGAGGCAGCAGUCGAGAAUAGUCUACAAUGGUCGGAAGACUGAUAGUGCGACGCCGCGUGAACGAUGAAUCCCUUCGGGGUGUAAAGUUCUUUUAUAUGUGAGCAGUGCUUCUUAUAUUAACAGUAUGGGGAGAGAGAUAUUAGCAUAUGAAUAAGCAACGGCUAAACUCCGUGCCAGCAGCCGCGGUAAAAA
Molecule: ribosomal RNA, 507 nt
Filed under: uncultured bacterium
Lineage: Bacteria
Description: bacterial SSU rRNA
Rfam family: Bacterial small subunit ribosomal RNA
Source: RNAcentral